Molecule: ribosomal RNA, 516 nt
Filed under: uncultured bacterium
Lineage: Bacteria
Description: bacterial SSU rRNA
Rfam family: Bacterial small subunit ribosomal RNA
Source: RNAcentral
UGGGCGAAAGCCUGAUCCAGCAAUGCCGCGUGCAGGAUGAAGGCCUUCGGGUUGUAAACUGCUUUUGUACGGAACGAAAAGCUUCGGGUUAAUACCCUGGAGUCAUGACGGUACCGUAAGAAUAAGCACCGGCUAACUACGUGCCAGCAGCCGCGGUAAUACGUAGGGUGCAAGCGUUAAUCGGAAUUACUGGGCGUAAAGCGUGCGCAGGCGGUUUUGUAAGACAGAGGUGAAAUCCCCGGGCUCAACCUGGGAACUGCCUUUGUGACUGCAAGGCUAGAGUACGGCAGAGGGGGAUGGAAUUCCGCGUGUAGCAGUGAAAUGCGUAGAUAUGCGGAGGAACACCGAUGGCGAAGGCAAUCCCCUGGGCCUGUACUGACGCUCAUGCACGAAAGCGUGGGGAGCAAACAGGAUUAGAUACCCUGGUAGUCCACGCCCUAAACGAUGUCAACUGGUUGUUGGGUCUUAACUGACUCAGUAACGAAGCUAACGCGUGAAGUUGACCGCCUGGGGAGU